RNAcentral lists this ribosomal RNA (325 nucleotides) under Staphylococcus aureus. Its description in RNAcentral is "bacterial SSU rRNA". It matches the Rfam family "Bacterial small subunit ribosomal RNA", at positions 1 to 314 of the family's 1533-position model. The record is from RNAcentral. Lineage: Bacteria; Bacillati; Bacillota; Bacilli; Caryophanales; Staphylococcaceae.
UUUUAUGGAGAGUUUGAUCCUGGCUCAGGAUGAACGCUGGCGGCGUGCCUAAUACAUGCAAGUCGAGCGAACGGACGAGAAGCUUGCUUCUCUGAUGUUAGCGGCGGACGGGUGAGUAACACGUGGAUAACCUACCUAUAAGACUGGGAUAACUUCGGGAAACCGGAGCUAAUACCGGAUAAUAUUUUGAACCGCAUGGUUCAAAAGUAAAAGACGGUCUUGCUGUCACUUAUAGAUGGAUCCGCGCUGCAUUAGCUAGUUGGUAAGGUAACGGCUUACCAAGGCAACGAUGCAUAGCCGACCUGAGAGGGUGAUCGGCCACACU